RNAcentral lists this long non-coding RNA (2957 nucleotides) under Linum usitatissimum (flax). Its description in RNAcentral is "long non-coding RNA (LUSI_LNC006551)". Lineage: Eukaryota; Viridiplantae; Streptophyta; Magnoliopsida; Malpighiales; Linaceae. The record is from RNAcentral.
UUUCGAAAGCACGUUUGUUUCUUCAUUCAAUCAAAUGUAGUAAAUCUUACAACACUAAUAACAUACAGGUACACUUAUAUUCAGAAUGUUAUAAUUUCGCACAAUAACAGCUAAAGAAACUAAUUUUCUUUGACAGAAUCUUGAAAGGAAAUGUGCGGGUGUCUGGUUUGAGUGGGAACAGUGAGAGUGGAGAAACAACCCCACACACACCCAAAUUUGAAGUGAUAAUGGUAACAAGAGCAAUGAAACCCACAGCAAUGAUUGUCCCCGCCGCUGCUCACAAAAUUAAGAAAAGACUCUGCACUCUGGAGUAAGGCAAAACGCUGCUGCUUAUAGUUCAGUACAGUAUUUUUCACUUUGGUCUUUGAUAAAAGCACCUGGCUCUCUAAAGUCCCUUCCACUGUCCACAGAACACACUAUUCCUCCAUUUUUAAGCACUACAAAACAAUCCUCCAUCCUCCACUUUGCUAACUCCACUCUCUUUCAAUUCCUCCUUACUGUGUUAGCUUACCAUGAGAAGUUGCACCAGAGCCACUCUGACACUUGAACUAGAAGAAGAGGAAGAAGAUGGACAAAAGUAUAACGCAACAAGAAGUAAGAUCGAUUGAUAUUUUCUUUUCCUUUUCUAUUAUAGAUAAGCUACGCUAACUAUCUUUGUUUGUGGACAAACGUACGUUUUUAUUAGUGAGCUCUUGCAGUACCAAGAGCCUGCUGCAGAAGCUGGAGAACAUUGAUGAGAAUGCUCCUGCUUCAUGGGGAGGAUAUUCCACAUCAUCUUCUGCUCCACCUCCUGAGACUCCGACCGAGUCCAUGGAGUUUCUAGCUAGAUCAUGGAGUCUUUCCGCCAUGGAGCUCUCCAAAGCUCUUUCCACACAUCCACCUCCUCCUCCUGCUUGUCUCCACAACUUGCCCACUAAUCCUCCAAAACCUGUUGAUCAAUGCCGGGAUGCAAGUUCUGCAGCUGGACGUGCAUCUGUAAGAAAAUUUAAGUUGGAUGUUGUAUUAUGGGCAGAGAGAUCAAGAAAUGUCUACGUUUACUAAUAGUUAAUUUGUUACUUCAUGUUUUGGGACUGAAACUCUUUACCUAGCAGUUGGUAAGUGGCGGAGGUGCUGCUAGUCCCCCUAUCUCUCCGAGAGAUAGUGAAGAACUUAAGGUACUACUUCUCCAGUAAGUGCUGACUCAUAACAAAAACACUGUUGACAGAAAAGACCGUAUGUGCAGGAAUUAAUUCUACUUCAUCAAGCACUCAAUCCAGAAUUCAUUUAUAGUCAACAGUUGCUCAAACAUGGGGUGGGUAACUCACGUAUAAUCUUCAUGUAGUAGAGAAUUUAACUUAUUGAACGGAGUUACACAGUCCUGUUCAUGUCGGUAUUUUGGCUAUGCAGUUAUAUAAGAGCAUCAUGAAAGGAAGAACAAUGGGGAGGCGGAUGAAGGAUCACAAAGAAAGAAAGAAGCAGGAGAUCAGGACGCAUAAUGCCCAAGUUCAUGCUGCUCUGACUGUAGCUGGAGUUGCUGCGGCCGUUGCUGCAUUAACAGCAUCAAGUGCAAUGUCAGCAGAAUUAGCAGCUGCAAAGGGCAGCAAGACAUUGUCGUCCAAAACACCGGCUGCCAUGGCAUCUGCAGCAGCCCUUGUAGCAUCUCACUGCAUUGAGAUAGCAGAGGACAUGGGGGCUGAACAUGAACAGAUCUCUACUGUCAUUGACUCGGCAAUCAAUGUCAGGACAAAUGGAGAUAUCAUGACUCUAACAGCUGGAGCAGCUACAGGUAUCUGACUACUAAUUCAGUUGUGAACUUUAACAAGUUCUAUAUCUGAAGAGAGCCUAGACUCAUUUGAAUCGCUACAUGUCAGAAAGUUAUACAAGAAUAUUCACUUGCUAAUCCAAAAGCUCUUUAUCUCAUACAGCAUUAAGAGGAGCUGCCACCCUGAGGGCACGGCUGCAGAAAGGGUAUGGAGGUCCAGCAUUUGCGUUGGCAGAGGACAAGGAUGAAGAAGGCGGUGAAUCCAAAUUCUCAGCAGCAUUGAAAUUUGUAACUGUAGGGGACGAACUACUAAAGCAGACAAGGAAAGGUACUUUUUACUACCCAAUGAUACAAGGGUUCGAUACUAACUUGAAGUAGCACUGGAGUUCAACUCAUAGUUUGUAACUAUAAUUGUUGAUGGGCAGGAGCUCUACACUGGAAACGAGUUUCUUUCAGUAUAAAUGCAAGCUGCCAGGUUUGAAAGCGGAUACCAACUGAUUAAUCUGAGCAAUUUCUGAAGUUCUUCUCUUCGAAAACCGUCUAAAUAAAAGGAGUUCAUAUCUAGAUAUGAUUGACUAACAAAAGGGUUUCUUGGUGUACUCACCAAACAGGUGGUAGCUAAAAUGAAAAGCAAACACAUGGCAGGGACAUUCACAAAGAAAAAGAAAUGUAAGCUAAAUUCCUCAACCUCAUGACUGAAAUAAUUACCUUAGUUCUCUACUCAUCAAUAGAUGCAAGUUAUGCCUCAUCUGCAGGUGUAGUUUUUGGAGUUCAGAGUGAAAUUGGGGCAUGGCCAGGGCGAAAUACUGAUGGCUGUAAUGAGCAGAGAGCUUACUUUGGGAUUAAAACAGCAGAAAGAACUAUUGAGUUCGAAUGUAGGAGCCAAAUGGACAAGCAGAUGUGGGUUGAGGCUAUAAAUCAUUUGCUAGAUUGUCGUGCCAACUUUACAUGAAAUCUGAAACAAGAAAAGGGCUUUCAAUCCUGGAGUGCAACUAAAAGUUUAUUUUAAGAUCUGCCUCAUUUAUAAACAAAUGUCAAGGGUUUUACGAGAACUUGUUAGUCAGAAAAUGUACAGGUGCUCAGUCAUGUUCUGCAUAUGAUGUGUAAAAAUUUCUUGCUCAAAGUCAAAAUAUGAAAUUGUGAAAUGGCAAUGGAUGGUUGUUGGUUUAUGGAUUCUCUUUAAGGAAGCCUAUAACAGCUGCAAAGAAAGGAUGGG